CGCCCCGCUGCCUGGCUGCUGAGAGUUGCUCCUGCCGCUGGGGGGGAAACCGAGCUCUGUGGCUCCAGGGGUGUUGUCCACCCGCCUGUAAUCAGGGUCUGGGUGCGUGAGCGUUUGUGCUCUGCUGGCAGCCUGUGUGGGGUGACCGCCCCGCUAGCGGGGUGUGGGUCGAGGUGCCCCGGACUGGGAGAGAAGGAGCCUCCCUCGGCCGUAGGGAUGGGGGCUGCCCUGUAAGUCAGGGAGCAUCUGUGUCCCGGAGUCCCAGGCCCUUUUCAAUGGCGGCAGUGGCCGGGGGUCCCCUGUAAGCAGGGAAGCUGACUCUUUGGCUGCUGCUUUUUGUGUGCCCAGCCCCAUUUGCCCAGUCUGCCCGCCUCUGUGAUCCCCCGCAGCACUGGCUGGAAGUCCGCCGCGUGUCAGUGAGGAGCUGCUGCAGAAGGAAGAAGAAGAAGCAGCGUGGGACCUGGGAGGCAGGAGCAAGCAAGAAGAGGAAGCGGAAGCGUGCAGAUGCGGGGGGGAAGGAGAGAGGCUCCCUGGGCAAAGCACCUGUCCCGUUAGCAGGGGCACAGUCACGUUUGAGUUGAGAGCUGCCGGCGCCUUUGGUGACCAGGCUGGCGUUGUGCUGGGCGACCUCCCCGUAAGCGGGGCUCGGGUCUUUGCUGUAGUUGGCCUUUUGCCUUGCUGCUCCUUUGGCUGCCUGGGGAGCGUGGCCCCCUGUAACGGAGGGCGAGAGCCACCUCUCCGCACCUGAGUGGGAAAUGGAGCUCGCCGGACCCCAAGGCCACCCUGUAAGCAGGGUAGUGCCGUUUCCCUGCCCCUCUUCCUCCCCCGGCCCCUCGGCAUCGUUGCCUGAUGGUGGCUUGUCAAUGCGACGGCCCCGUACUCGGGGUGUGCGUCACGGCAUUUGGCCGUUGGCUUUAUCUGAGAAGCCCCUUGGCACGUUGAGGUCCGUGGCCUCCGUGCAGCCUAGGGACAGGUCACAGGCUCUUGUCUGUUGCCCGUGGUUGUGGGUUUAUUCCCAGGUGUUGGCUGUGCUGCGUUGUCCUUCCCUUCUGGAAAGUUGUGCCUGUGUGUGCGUGUUCCCCUUCCUUUCCUUGUUUGUGUUUGUGGAGUGGUUGAGCGGCUGUGCUUUCCCUUUAGGCCUCCACAAAGAUGGCUGCAGCUUAGCUUUGACUUCCCAGGGGGGAAUGGAGGACUUUGGUGCAUGCCGCAAAAGGGGUGUUCCCUCUUAGUCCUGCGAGCGCAGCGAGUGUCCUGUCUUCCUACUAUUUUCCUUAGUGCAGAUCAGAGCCACACGGUAGUUCUGUGGCCAAGGCCUCCCUGUAGCCAGGGCUUGGGCCUGUCCUUGCGUGGCCGCCUGUCCUGCUGGCGGCGGUGACAGCCCCGUACUCGGGGUGUGUGUCCCAAGCUUUGGAGCCCUCUGUCCCUGAGCAGCCCGCCCGCCCUGUAAUCAGGUGUGGGGAGGCUGCAGCGUUGCAGCCGGCUGCUUUAGCCAUCCAGCUGGUGGGAGUGACCCCUCCCUGUCCCGUCAGAGGGUGCAGGUUGAGGUGCUGUUUGUGUGUGGGGUGACCUCCCCGCUCGGUGGGUCGAGGUAGCUCCCUGGGCUUCCAAAGACGAGACGUUGGUGAUGUUCUGCUGCUGCCGGGCGGGCCAGCCUGUAACUCAGGCGUUGGCGGGAGCCUCGUGCUCCGCGGGGCUUCUUGAAGAGGGUGAGGUGUGGGGGUACCGUCCUGUAGGCAGGGCUGUGUGUGCCCCCCGUGUGUGCUUGGUGAGCUGCGUUCUGAGAGACCCCCUGUACUCAGGUGGGAAUGUGGCCCCGGCCUUUCAGAGGCGCGGGGCCGUGAGAUGCGGGGUGGGGCUUGCGCCCUCCCUGGAAUCGGGGCUGGGAUCCCGACUGCGGCCUUUGGCCGUGCCGCCCCGCUGCCUGGCUGCUGAGAGUUGCUCCUGCCGCUGGGGGGGAAACCGAGCUCUGUGGCUCCAGGGGUGUUGUCCACCCGCCUGUAAUCAGGGUCUGGGUGCGUGAGCGUUUGUGCUCUGCUGGCAGCCUGUGUGGGGUGACCGCCCCGCUAGCGGGGUGUGGGUCGAGGUGCCCCGGACUGGGAGAGAAGGAGCCUCCCUCGGCCGUAGGGAUGGGGGCUGCCCUGUAAGUCAGGGAGCAUCUGUGUCCCGGAGUCCCAGGCCCUUUUCAAUGGCGGCAGUGGCCGGGGGUCCCCUGUAAGCAGGGAAGCUGACUCUUUGGCUGCUGCUUUUUGUGUGCCCAGCCCCAUUUGCCCAGUCUGCCCGCCUCUGUGAUCCCCCGCAGCACUGGCUGGAAGUCCGCCGCGUGUCAGUGAGGAGCUGCUGCAGAAGGAAGAAGAAGAAGCAGCGUGGGACCUGGGAGGCAGGAGCAAGCAAGAAGAGGAAGCGGAAGCGUGCAGAUGCGGGGGGGAAGGAGAGAGGCUCCCUGGGCAAAGCACCUGUCCCGUUAGCAGGGGCACAGUCACGUUUGAGUUGAGAGCUGCCGGCGCCUUUGGUGACCAGGCUGGCGUUGUGCUGGGCGACCUCCCCGUAAGCGGGGCUCGGGUCUUUGCUGUAGUUGGCCUUUUGCCUUGCUGCUCCUUUGGCUGCCUGGGGAGCGUGGCCCCCUGUAACGGAGGGCGAGAGCCACCUCUCCGCACCUGAGUG
Long non-coding RNA from Gallus gallus (chicken), 2661 nucleotides. RefSeq lists it as uncharacterized. The record is from RefSeq and is a predicted model, not a curated record. The transcript is spliced from 3 exons. NCBI's taxonomy places the organism in Eukaryota, Metazoa, Chordata, Aves, Galliformes, Phasianidae.